AACGAACGCUGGCGGCGUGCUUAACACAUGCAAGUCGCGUGCGCAGUUCCGUAGCAAUACGGGAUCGGCGCACGGCGCACGGGUGCGUAACACGUGGGCAAUCUGCCCUCUGAUGGGGAAUAACCCCGCGAAAGCGGGGCUAAUACCGCAUAAGAUUCCUUGGACGAUGGUCCGAGGAUUGAAAGCAGUGAUGCGUCGGAGGAGGAGCCCGCGCCCGAUUAGCUAGUUGGUGAGGUAAUGGCUCACCAAGGCAAUGAUCGGUAGCUGGUCUGAGAGGAUGAUCAGCCACACUGGAACUGAGACACGGUCCAGACUCCUACGGGAGGCAGCAGUGGGGAAUCUUGCACAAUGGGCGAAAGCCUGAUGCAGCGACGCCGCGUGGGGGAUGAAGCAUCUCGGUGUGUAAACCCCUUUCGAUUCGGACGAAUGCCCGCAAGGGAGUGACGGUACGGAUAUAAGAAGCCCCGGCUAACUACGUG
Molecule: ribosomal RNA, 479 nt
Filed under: uncultured organism
Description: bacterial SSU rRNA
Rfam family: Bacterial small subunit ribosomal RNA
Source: RNAcentral